Molecule: long non-coding RNA, 8986 nt
Filed under: Elaeis guineensis (African oil palm)
Lineage: Eukaryota; Viridiplantae; Streptophyta; Magnoliopsida; Arecales; Arecaceae
Description: long non-coding RNA (EGUI_LNC004678)
Source: RNAcentral
UCCAUGAUUUGUUCUAAAAAUUAAUAAAGAUGAUUUUUGUAUAUUCUUAAAGAGUUAAAAAUUUGAGAUAUACAUUAAUUAAUAGUUAAUUUUUAAAUAUUUUCGAUUAAAAGAUCAUCACGGAGAACAGUGAUCAAUCUAUUUGAGAUCGAUGCACGGUUCACCUCUGUUGUGGGCAGAUGAGUCUUGGAUCUACAGUGUAGAGACACUAGGAUGAAGAUAUAGGUGGUUAUUAGAGAAUAACUUAUACUGAGCGUGACCAAUACGAGAACCAUAUGGUUGUCUAAUCACUCAUCAAUGAUCUUCUCGAUACUGUAGUGGUGUGAGUGGUCCUUUGACCUGCGGUGUCAUUAGCUAUUUGCAGUGAGACUACUGGGUUUGACUGCACGUUCUCUUAGUCCCUAGCCAUUCGGAUCUUUACUGUGUAUGUUGGCUUCAGUAGGUUCAGGUUCGCUGUUUGGAGUAGGAUGCACCUAGAUAGAAUUUAUCAAUCUUGGUAGAAAAGAAGAAGUCGUAUGUGAUUUGUGAGACUGAGUUCAGAAAGUCUUUGACCAAAGUAAGUGUGAAUACUGAAAAAAAAUUUUCAUGAAAUUCAUAAAUGAACUUCAGUCAAGCCAAUCUACUAUAUGACUGACGAUGGGAUCUGAAGAGUUCUCUAUGAUCUCCGUCAAAUCGAGACUCAUGAUAGAAGGACUGAAUCAUAUGAUAACUGCACCUAGAGAUUCAUAUUUUCAUUCUACUGGGUUGCCACUAUAUACUGCUAGGUGUCACUAAUGGAUUGUGAGACUCAUCGGAUGUCAUUUUGAUAAUCGAUGGUCCUUGAAGGGUAGAAUUGAAAAUAUUUUAAUCUAUCGAAAAGAGUUUCGAUGAUAUUGUGAUGGAGAUCACAAUAUAUCUCACUACCAAAUAGAAUAGAAUCUAUGGGGUCCCACAUUAAGGGAUUUAAUCUCGAAUUUAUCAAUUGAGCUUAUAAAAUUCAAAUGGAUUAGGAUUUAUUGAAAUCUUAUUAGGUUUGUGAGAACCAUGCUAGCACAUGAUUAAACCUAAUUCUUCUCAGAAUUUUGAUUUGAUCAAGUCCAUAGCCUUGAACCUAACCUAAAUCUAGUUGGGUUUAAUUAGGCUCUUAAUUAUGAGCCCAAAAAAAUUUGAUUAAGUCAAUUAGUUAGCUUAAUUAUCCGAACAUUAUCUCUUCUUUAUUUCCUAAUUAUCUCUAAGUGUGCAUGUAGAAUAGAUAAAAGAUUGGAUGGUAACUUCCUUCUCUUUUGGUAGGAAUUGGGUGCCAAAACCUUGAGGGGCCCACCCCAUUUUAUAUGGCAUGGCAUGGAGGAGAGAGAGGUGGGGCCACAUCCCAUUCUUAUUUGGAUAGAAACUCUAUUAUGGGGCACCAAGAGUUGGCACCUCAACUACCUGACAUGUAUUAGAUGGGCACCUCUUGUACCUGCUUAAAGAGGCUGAUCAUAUACCAUUUAUAUUUGAUUUUAAUUGAAAUAAAUCAGAUUAAAAAUGUAGAGGAUUUUUAUGAGAUAAUGAUCUACUUUUUUAAAAUAAUUAGAUUCCUAUUAUGUGUCAGGAUAGUGCCUAUAUAAAGGAUAUGUCUUUAGAAUUUCUAGCUAAUUUGAUUUUUGAAAAAAAUCUCUCCCUCUCCCUCUCUUUUCUUCCAUGCCCAAGAGUUGGGCAUCUCCUUUUUCCACAUGCCAAGAAGUGCUGCUUUGUCUUGAAGAAUGAAGAUCGAAGAGAAGAAGAAGGCUGCUGAUCAAGGAGUUGAUCCUGUUUAAGGUGUUGAUCAAAGUGCUCAAGCCUAAGAUUCUUCUUGGGAAGAAGAGUCUUCUACGAGAAAAAAAUAGUUCGAGAUUGAUCCUGAUGGAUAUCCAUAGAGGUCGGACACGUGUGUGGCUCGAGUGUCUACGAAUCCGUGAUUAUCAGAAGCGGUGAAUAUCUACCAGCAUUAAGGUAAUAAGAUAUGAUCUCAUAUUUAUUUCUAAAUUUUAGAUUAUAUAUAUGUAUUUUUUUUUAGGCUUGAGUAGGAUUAGAUUUGAUCUUUUGCAUGUGGGGUUAAAGAGUUUAAUCCGUUUUAUUUUUCACUGCAUAUUUCAAAAAUUUUGAAAUCUACACAUGAUGCCUACCCGAUUUUCUAACAGUGGUAUCAGAGCUAUAAAUUUUUGAAAACAUAUAUGAUCUGAUUUUUUAGAUUAGAUCCAAAAGUUUUAAUGAUUUAAAAUCAAUUUUGUGUUGAUAUAAGGUUGUCCUGGUAUACGGUUCACCUCCUAUAUUGCAAAGGUUGUCCUAGUACAAGAUUGAUCGAUUUUGAAAAUUAUUUUUAAAAUAAUUAAAUUAAAUCUUUUAUAUCUAAAAAUUAGUAUAUGUGAUAUGUUUAAUUUUGUGUUUAGAUCUGAAAUUAGAAUAAUUAAAAGUUCACAACAAAUUGAUAUAAGGUUGUCCUGAUAUAGGGUUUAUCCUCUAUAUUGUAAAAAUGAUUCUAGUUUGAUGCGAAUAGAUUUUUAAAAAGAUAUUUUCAAAAUAUUUUAAUCAUUAUUCUAGAUCUAGUUUUAUAUGUAUUUGAUAUGUAUAAAUUUAGUUUUAAAUCUAAAAUUUAAUGUAUAUGUGAUGCAUAUUUAAUUUAGAUCUGAAACUUCAUAUAUUUGAUAUAUGAAAUUAGGUUUAGAUCUAAAACAAUUUCAAGAUCAUAAGCCACUAAUUGCAUGCAAUAAAAUAUAAUUUAAAAUUAUUUUUAGAUCUAAAUUAUGUUAUUGCAUGUGGAUAUGGAUUGGACAAAUUAGGUCUAGUGAUCAAACUACAAUUAGGGUCUAAUUGAUUAGAUCAGACUAGAACCCAUUUUUGAUUUUGAGUAGUUAAUUGAACCUAAUCAAUGGAUGAUUAGGAUUAGAUCAAAGGGGCUCAAAGUUGAGUUUAGUUGUAGUUGGUCACAUCAAUUCAUAUUUUGAUGUAAAUUGAUUGACUCAAGACCGAAUUUGGCUCAACGAUUCGAGUCCAUUUUAAUAUGUUAAUCUAAUCGAUUAAUUUGAUGUCUAAGGCAAGUAUUUAGAUGGUGGUUAUUUAAUUGAUUCUGUUGUCUGACCUGAUUAAUUUUGAUUGGUAUCUAAGAAAAGCAAUGAAGAGACCCCCAUGCAUCUUAACUAAUUACCUGAUCAUCUUGGAAGAUUCAGUUUCAUGUUAAGUUACUUAUUAACUCGAGUUCACCCAUAUCGACUAGGAUGAUUAGAUAUAUUGAUAUGCUGAUCUAAUUUAAUCAGUCGGAUGUCAGAUCUGCUGAUUUAGAAGAUAUCUAAAUCUAAAUUUUUUCAUUAAAUAUUAAGUUUAAAGGUCUUUCAUUGUUGUAGAGAUACAGGUGCUUUUCUGACGUUGAUCAUUUUCGACUGAUUACAGUAGUUCGGUUGUAUCGAAAAGGUACAAUCACUCUAUUGAUAUUUUAUGUCCCGAGGUAGAGAUGGAAUUGGACUGACCAAUAACUAUUAGGUGAGGGUCCCAAUGAUGGCUUUGCACCCACUAGUGAAUGAUGGAUCUGACUUAACUAAGAAAUGUGCCAAUAAUUGUUAGAUGAGGCCACAAGACUUAGAGACCAAGCCCACUGUAUCUUGCUUAGUGAAGCAAUGGAUAAAGUAUUGUCCACUUAUUGGUUCGUACUCACCAAUAACUAUUAGGUGAGGUGCGUAUAGAUUAAUGGAAUCGCAAUACCUAUUUAAAAUUGAUCGCGUAUAGAUUUCUAUUUCUCUAUUCGAGGAGUGUGGGAGAUUCGAAAAAAUAGUGAGAGCCUUUGUUUAUUUUUUAAGUCUCUAGAAUAAAUAAUCUUAUAAGUACAAAAUCUAACUAGAAAUUAUUCUUUUUACAGAUAACCAUGUCGAAUUCAAACUCCAUAGCCCAAAUCCUCGAUAUAAAUAAGUUGACCGGCACCAAUUACAAAGUCUGGCUUUGAAAUCUGAGAAUUAUUCUCAAUUUUGAAAAACUCACACAUAUCCUUGACCAAAAAGCAUCUGUGUUACUUGCUCAUCCAUCCGCUGAUCAACAAGCUGCACUUGAAAAAUGGAUGGACGAAGAUAACAAGGUAAAGUGCUACAUCUUAGCGUCCAUGUCCAAUGAUCUUCAACAAUAGAAUGAAGAUAUGAGGACUGCCAGAGAAAUGAUGGUUCACCUACAAGAGUUGUAUGGUGAACAGAGUCGCACAGCUCACUUUAAGGUCCCUUAGAGAUUUUUCAGAGUGAAGACGUGUGAUGGGCAAUCUGUCAAUGAUCAUUGUCUGACAAUGAUCAAGAACAUAGAGGAGCUUCAGAAGCUCAGAAUGCACAUAGACAAGGAACUACUGGUGGAUCUGAUCCUCUAGUCUCUUCCUGAUUUAUAUGGACAGUUCAUUAUGAACUACCAUAUGAAUAAAAUUGAUGCUACUUUACCUAAGUUAUUGAAUAUGCUGGUGACUUCAGAGGGCACCUUGAAGAGUUCAAGGGGCACAGUUCUAGUUGUGGAGCGGGCUUCCUCCAAAAGGAAGUCUUCUUCUAAGAAAAAGAAAAAGCUUGCGAAAAAGCAAAAGAACGAGGCCAAGCUCAAGAAACAGGCUCUUAAGAAGGUUGACGAUAAAGAAAAAUAUUUUCAUUGCAAUGUCGAAGGCCACUGGAGGAGGAAUUGUCCGGGCUACCUGGCAACUGUCAAGGGUAGGAAGAAGGAUGGAUCUUUUGAAGGUAUGUCUGAAUUAUUCGUUAUCGAAACUAAUCUAAUGAUUUUCUCUUCUUCUAGUUAGAUUCUAGAUUCUGGUUCAAGUGCUCAUUUGUACACUUCAAUGUAGGAUCUUGAAGAAGAGGGUUGAGGGAAGGCUAGAUCACUCUCUGGAUCGACAAUGGAGCAAUGGUUGCUACUGUAGCCAUCAGAACCUAUCCUCUGUGACUAUCAUUAGGACUUAGUUUGCUUUUGAAAGACUGUUAUUAUGUAUCUGUAAUCAGUAAAAAAUUUGAUUUCUAUCUCUGUGCUGGCACAGGAUAACUAUAAUUUUUAUUUCAAUAAAGACAUAUGUUCAAUUUAUUUCAGAAAUAAAAUUAUUACACGUGCUUUUUUUAUUGACAGUCUUUACUCUUUGCAUACGGAUGUGAGUGUAAACAUUAAUGAGCAAAUAGUGAAUGCUAUAGGGUUUAAGAGGAUUAGCCAAAAGUAUCUAUGGCACCGUAGGCUAGACCAUAUUGGAGAGGACAGACUCAACAAACUGGAGAAAGAUUGUCUUCUCGGACCAUUGACUUUCAAGUCUUAUCCAGUCUGUGAAUCGUAUCUUCAAAAUAAAAAUGAUCAAGCUGUCCUUUGUGGGACAAGAGGAUAGGGCCACUGAGAUAUUAGCCCUGGUAUAUACUGACGUGUGUAGUCUAUUCGAUGUAUAAGUCAGGGGUGGCUAUAUCUACUUCAUAAUCUUUACUGAUGAUUAUUCAUGAUAUGGGUUUGUAUAUUUGAUGCACCGAAAGUCUGAAAUCUUUGAAAAGUUCAUAGAGUUCAGACAUGAAGUAGAAAAACAGACCAAAAAAUUUAUAAAAGUUCUUCGAUUAAAUCGAGGAGGAGAAUACCUUAAUGGAGAAUUUCGGACCUAUCUCAAAGAUAAUGAUAUAGUCUCACAGUGGACACCUUCAGGGACACUUCAACUCAACGGGAUAUCUGAAAGGAGAAAUUGGAUCUUAUUAGAUAUGGUCUGAUCUAUGAUGAGCUUCACAAAUCUUUCUGACUUGCUCUGGAGACAUGCUUUACUUACUGCGAUUCAUCUUUUGAAUCGGGUUCUCUCUAAAUCUAUUCCUACCACACCAUAUGAAUUAUGAUAUGGUAAGAAACCAACUCUUGGGUAUCUCAAGAUUUAGGGAUGUCCGACCCAUGUCAAGCGAUAGCAGACGGACAAGUUAGAAGCUAGAUCCUUUAGGACUCGUUUUAUAGAAUAUCCUAAGAAAAUCAUGAGAUACUACUUUUAUCUUCCUGAAGAUCACAAUGUGAUUGUGAGCCAUUAUGCCGUAUUCUUGAAAAAAGAGUUUAUCCAAAAUGGAGGCAAUGGGAGAAAGAUUGAGCUCGAAGAGAAAGUCUCUGAAGAGCAUCGAGUCCAAGAACCUGAACCCAAUAAUGAGCUAGUAGAUAUGAUACCUCCUUCAUCUCAUAGAUUAAGUAGGGUCUUCUGUCCUCCUGAAAAAUACAUAGAUAUUCUUACAAAGAAUUUAGAGGAAGCAUUCCUUGUGGGAGAUAGAGAUAUUAGGAAUGAUCCUAAAAUCUACGAUGAGACAAUGUUAGAUAUAGACUUCGAGAAAUGGAUGGAUGCGAUGAAGUCAGAAAUUGACUUCAUGCAUUCUAACCAGAUUUGGUACUUAGUAGAUCUACCUGAAGGUAUUGUACUUAUUGAGUGUAAAUGGAUUUACAAAAAGAAGAUUGGAUCAGAUGGUGAGGUAGAGAUCUAUAGGCAAGGCUAGUCGCGAAAGGUUAUAGUCAACGUGAAGGCAUCGACUAUCAUGAAAUCUUUUCAUCCGUAGCCAUGCUGAAAUCUAUCCGUACUCUGUUUGUCAUAACAGUAUUUCAUGAUUAUAAAAUUUGAUGGAUGGAUGUAAAAACUGUCUUCCUAAAUGGAUAUCUGAAGGAAGAUAUCUAUAUAGAGCAGCCUCUGAAUUUCACGUUCAGUGAUAGUGACCACAAGGUCUGCAAGCUGUAAAGGUCUAUAUAUGAACUUCAGCAAGCAUCUCAGAGUUGGAAUACUCGCUUCAAUGAUAUAUUAAAAUGUUUGAUUUCAUAAAAAAUAAGGAGCCGUGCAUGUAUAAAAAAAUUAGUGGGAGUGCUGUCAUAUUCUUCGUAUUAUAUGUAGAUGAUAUCCUCUUGAUUGAAAAUGAUAUUCCCAUGCUGACGUCGGUCAAAGUAUGGUUAUCAAAAGAGUUUACUAUGAAAGACCUAGAAGAAGCUUCCUACAUUCUUGGUAUAAAGGUCUAUAGAGAUAGAUCUAAGAGAAUGAUAGGACUCUCACAAUAUAUGUACAUAGAGGAAGUGCUGAAGAGGUUCAACAUGAAAAAUUUCAAGAUGAAUCUUUGCCCCUUAGACAUGACAUUCAUCUCUCUAAAAAGAUGUACCCUGACACUCCUGAGGAGAUCCAGUGCAUGAGCAAGAUCUUUUACACUUCUACAAUAGAGAGCUUUAUGUAUACCAUAUUAUGUAUAUGUCCUGAUAUAGUACUUGUCGUGAGUGUUACGAGUAGAUAUCAGGCGAAUCUAGGUGAAAAAUACUGGAUUGCUGUUAAAAACAUCCUUAAGUACUUGAGAAGGACUAAGGAUUUGAUGUUGGUCUUUGGUGGAGGAUCGGAGCUGAAAGUAAAGGGAUACACCGAUUCAGACUUUAUGACUGAUGUCGGUGAUAGAAAGUCUACAUCAGAGUGUAUUUUUUUGUGUAAUGGUGGUGCAGUUAGCUGGAAGAAUUUCAAGUAGUCGAUCAUUGUAGAUUUGAUCAUGAAAGUCGAGUAUAUCAUCGCUUCUGAAGCUGCUAAGAAAACUUUUUGGUUCAAGAAAUUUGUUACGGAGCUGGGUGUGAUGCCAUCAGAUGCUAUUGCACUGCACUGUGAUAAUAAUAGCGCCAUAGCCCUCGUUAAGAAGCCAAAAGUCUCACCAGAAGUCCAAACACAUAGAGCAGCGGUUUCACAUCAUACGUGAAUAUCUCGAGAAGAAAUUCAUCGAGGUACAGAGAGUCGACUCUAUGCUGAAUGUGGUAGAUCCACUGACCAAGCCUCUCAGCCAAUAAAAGAUCGAAGGUCACCUUGAGAAGAUGGAUCUUAGGUAUGUGGCCAAUUGACUUUAGAUCAAGUGGGAGUUUGUUAGAUUUAUGUCCUAGAAGUCAAUUGUUGUCUGGCACAUUAUGUAGUUUCAGGGUCUAAAAUUAUACUUGUAAUUUUUUUAUUAUCAAUAAAGAACUUUUUCAUUUCAAUUAUGUUUGUGUCCAUGAUUUAUCCUAAAAAUUAAUAAAGAUAAUUUUUAUAUAUUUUUAAAGAGUUAAAAAUUUGAGUCAUACAUUAAUUAGUGGUUAAUUCUAAAUACUCUCAAUCAAAAGAUCAUCACGGAGGACAGUGAUCAGUCUAUUUGAGAUCGUGCAUGGUUCACCUUUCUUGUGGGCAAAUGAGUCUCGGAUCUGCGGUGUAGAGACACUAGGAUGAAGGUGUGGAUGGUUGUUAGAGAACAACUUGCACUGAACGUGACCAAUAUGAGAACCACAUGAUUGUCUACUCACUCGUCAGUGGUCUUCUCGAUGCUGCAGUGAUAUAAGUGAUCCUUUGACCUACGGUGCCAUUGGCUAUUCGCAGCGAGGCUACUGGAUUUGACUGCACGUUUUCUUGGUCUCUAGCCAUUCAGAUCCUUACUGUGUAUAUUGGCUUCAGUAGGUUCAGAUUCACUGUUUGGAGUAGGAUGCCCUUAGAUAGAAUCUAUCGAUCUUGGUAGAAAAAAAGUUCUUUGUGAUUUGCAAGACUGAGUUCAGAAAGUCUUUGAUCAAAGCAAGUGUGAAGACUGAAAAAAAAAUUUCACGAGAUUUACAAAUGAACUUAAGUCAAGUCAAUCUAGUAUAUGACUGACGAUGGGAUAUGACGAGUUCUCCAUGACCUUCGUUAAGUCAGGACUUACGAUAGAAGGACUGAAUCAUACGAUAACUGUAUCUAGAGAUUAGUACUUUCAUUCUACUGAGUUGCCAUUACAUACUGCUAGGUGUCACUGAUAGAUGGUGAGACUCAUCGAACGUUAUCUUGAUGAUCGAUGGUCCUCGAAGGAUAAAAUUAGAAAUAUUUUAAUCCAUUGAAAAGAGUUUCGAUAAUAUUGUAAUGGAGAUCACAAUAUAUCUUACUACCAGAUAGAAUAGAAUCUAUGAAAUCAUCCAUUAAGGGAUUUAAUCUCAAAUUUGCUAAUUGGACUUAUGAAGUUCAAUUAAGUUAGGGUUUAUUGAAAUCUUAUUAAAUUUGUGAGAACCAUGCUAGUACAUGGUUAAACCUAAUUCUUUUUGAGAC